UUCCAUCCAAUUAAUUACCGGCACAAAACACAGACUCAGAAACAGGGUGGAUUCCAAGACUUUGAGUUGCUCCCCACACCAGUUAACCCUUCCCCUCCUGCCGCACUUGGAAGUCUCGCCAGCAGCACAGCUUUGGCCCAGAAGCAGCUCAUUACAGGGGAGUCUCCUCACUUCCAAGGGUCCUUGGGGCUGCGUCUGUCCUGCUGCCACUGGUGAGCAGAGCGGUCACUCAGAUGGCAGCCCAGGUGACCUGCACAAAAUGCACGGGCAGCCCGGAUGGUGACGGGACAGGGUCCUUGCAGGUGGGUGAAGGCUGCUCAGCUCUGCCCCCCAGGGCGGGCAUCCAUGAGGUCUGGCCUUGCCCCCUUGUCCUGGCAUCUCCUUCAUUAGGAACCUGCGGGCCCCCGAGGAGAGAAAGUCGCCGGCGUCUUGGGGGCUAAGAGGUGGCAGCCCCAUUUCCGGAGACGAAUUUAGACACCCAGUGUGACAGCUCCUGGGGACCCUGGAGGGCAGCUGAGUGAGCUGGUCCUUCUUCCUCAGGACAGGGUGAUGGAUGCAGGCGUGGCAGGUGGCUGCAUCCGCUUGGAGAAGAGAAUUUGUCUCGGUGGACGUGACACCGAGGAGAUGCUGGUCUGGGACGACGUGGGCACAGGAAACGUGACCCACGAGAUAGAGAGCCGCCCCCCAGCUGCGUGAGCACCUACCUCCUGCAUCGACCCUGUACUACCGAAGCCUGAGCAACUUUGAUCCCACACUGAGCCUGAGGCCGGCAGCAGCUGGACGGACGAGGACAUAUACUAUGGCUGCAAAUCUUCCGAUUUUGGGAAAGGCAGGCUCCUGAAUGUCUGAAGAUGUGACCUGAUGAGUUCUGGGUGACCGUGGGGAGCCCCUUCUCAGAGGCAGAUGAUCGGAGGUCUCCAGGAUGGUGAGCUCUGCAGCUGUCCAGAUGUUUGAGGGCGGAUUCCUGCCCAGGAACCAGAGACGGUCCCACGUCCGAGCCCAGACUCUCAGGGAGACCCAGGCCCUUGUCUUUAACCGGCUCCCAGGUGACCCGUGUGGGUCCCACAGCGAGAGAAGCAGCGUGCUGGUGGGAGCGGACUGUGGCUGGCAGUUGAAGCGCCCAGCACCCGCUCACCCACCCACCCGCUCACUCAACAGCCUCUCUCGUGGGGACUCGCUGGCGCAGGGGCCUGUGGCCACUGGUCCAUGAACGCAAGAUGCGGAGUGAAGCCUUGGAAGGCCUGGAAAGCCUAGAGGCUGUGUCUGCGCAGGAGACCGUUCUGAACGCCAAGUGCUGCCGCGUCAGCUGACACACCACAGUUAUUAAUUAUGGAUGCUGCUGGAAUCUCUGCUGCACAGUUGGGACCAUCAAAUAUACACAGCGGCACAAACCACCCAGCAAAUGGGAGGCAACGGGGUAAAGGACCCGCCAAGAGGGGCGCACGGGACAAACUUGGUGCCAAGUGCCUGUGGGAAGAGCCACCCUUGCCGGUCCCUGUGACCUCCCCUCAGGAUCCCAGGGGAGGAGAUCCGUGUGUCGGUCACCCAGGGGACUCGCUGAGCGCCCGCUGUGUGCUAGGCCCCGUGCCAGGCCCAGGGGAACGGCAGUGCCAGGGCAGGCCCGCGUCCUAGAGCACCUGCGCUGGGCAGCAGGGGGCACUGGGGCAUCUGGGAACAGUGGAGCGCCUGUGGCUGUGUCUUCCCUGCUGGGGCAGGCUCGGAGGAGACCUGCUGGGGAUGGAGUCUUGAGUCUGCCUUGAGCUCAGUUUGCCGUCACUGGUCCCCACACAGGUUCGGCAGCUGUGGGUGGGUCCUUUGAUGAGGCCCUGUGUCUUCUGGAUGCAAAGCACUCGGGAUUCCAGUCAGGUCCCCUCUGAAUAAUGCCGGGGGGUGGGGGCAUAACAUGUUCUAGGUCCUAGCUUCCGGGGAGCUGGGGGCUGCUGGGCGGAGCCCACAGAGUGCAGCUUCGAACCAUCGUGUCAUGA
Canis lupus familiaris (dog) is the source of this 1985-nucleotide long non-coding RNA. RefSeq lists it as uncharacterized. NCBI's taxonomy places the organism in Eukaryota, Metazoa, Chordata, Mammalia, Carnivora, Canidae. The record is from RefSeq and is a predicted model, not a curated record. The transcript has 6 exons.